UACGGAGGGUGCGAGCGUUAAUCGGAAUUACUGGGCGUAAAGCGCACGCAGGCGGUUUGUUAAGCCAGAUGUGAAAGCCCCGGGCUCAACCUGGGAUGGUCAUUUAGAACUGGCAGACUAGAGUCUUGGAGAGGGGAGUGGAAUUCCAGGUGUAGCGGUGAAAUGCGUAGAUAUCUGGAGGAACAUCAGUGGCGAAGGCGACUCCCUGGCCAAAGACUGACGCUCAUGUGCGAAAGUGUGGGNAGCGAACAGG
This 253-nucleotide ribosomal RNA is filed under the name uncultured bacterium. RNAcentral describes it as "partial 16S ribosomal RNA". It matches the Rfam family "Bacterial small subunit ribosomal RNA", at positions 524 to 776 of the family's 1533-position model. The record is from RNAcentral.